This 432-nucleotide unclassified non-coding RNA is filed under the name soil metagenome. RNAcentral describes it as "partial contains 5.8S ribosomal RNA, internal transcribed spacer 2, and large subunit ribosomal RNA". The stretch from base 1 to 120 matches the Rfam family "5.8S ribosomal RNA", at positions 35 to 154 of the family's 154-position model. The record is from RNAcentral.
GAUGAAGAACGUAGCGAAAUGCGAUACGUAAUGUGAAUUGCAGAAUUCAGUGAAUCAUCGAAUCUUUGAACGCAUAUUGCGCUCUCUGGUAUUCCGGAGAGCAUGCUUGUUUGAGUAUCAGUAAACACCUCAACUUCCAUAUCUUUUUUGAAAUGGGAGUUGGACUUGAGUGAUCCCAACGCUUUUCCUCACCGAAAAGUGGCGGGUUACUUGAAAUGCAGGUGCAGCUGGACUUUUCUCUGAGCUAUAAGCAUAUCUAUUUAGUCUGCCUAAAAAACAGAUUAUUACCUUUGCUGCAGCUAACAUAAAGGAGAUUAGUUCUUGUGCUGACUGAUGCAGGAUUCACAAAGACGGCUUCGGCCGACUUUGUAAACUCGAUCUCAAAUCAAGUAAGACUACCCGCUGAACUUAAGCAUAGCAAUAAGCGGGGGA